This 725-nucleotide ribosomal RNA is filed under the name Begonia hekouensis. RNAcentral's name for it is "eukaryotic LSU rRNA". The stretch from base 244 to 399 matches the Rfam family "5.8S ribosomal RNA". Lineage: Eukaryota; Viridiplantae; Streptophyta; Magnoliopsida; Cucurbitales; Begoniaceae. The record is from RNAcentral.
UUGUCGAUUCCUGCAAAAUGCAGAACAACCCGCGAACUAGUUUGCCAACGUCCCGCCCCGUGCGGGAACAGCGCGGAGCACGUUAGAGCUGUGGAUAGCGCUUUUCGCGCCCCCUGCCCUGCUUGCCCCGCGCCCCCUAACGAACCCCGGCGCGAGUCGCGUCAAGGAAUCUGAAACUCAGAACGUAGCUCCCCUGCCCCGAUUUCGGGACGCAGGGGUCCUGCGAACUUGAUCAUAUCAAACGACUCUCGACAACGGAUAUCUCGGCUCUCGCAUCGAUGAAGAACGUAGUGAAAUGCGAUACUUGGUGUGAAUUGCAGAAUCCCGUGAACCAUCGAGUUUUUGAACGCAAGUUGCGCCCGAAGCCUUCUGGCCGAGGGCACGUCUGCCUGGGCGUCACGCAUCGUAGCCCCCCGCACCCAAACAAAAAAAACCAACACCAAUCCAUCGAUCGAAGCAGAGACCCGUGCUUUUGCUUCGUUCGGGGGGUUUUGGUGGCUGGCCUUUGGGCAGUCGGGGAGGCGACAUUGGCCUCCCGUAUGGGCGACCUCGCGGUUGGUCUAAAUUUGAGUCCUCGGCGUCUUGCGGCGCGAUCGACGGUGGUUGCCAUGCCCUCGACGAAUUACAUCGCGCCUGCGAGGCGCGCCGUGGGGAACUCCUCGACGACCCUAAUGCGUCGGCUCGUCGGACAACGCCGGCGAGAAGACGUUAUCGAAGCGACCCCA